CCCAGCGGAGUUCCUGGGUGUUUCAUGGGAGCACCCGCCCUGUCCCCUGGAGGAACACACUGAGGAUGAAGACUUCCGGGGCAGGCGUCAGGAGGCACCCAAGGUGGAGGAAGGCCUGCGAGAAGGACAGUAAGAGAUGCCAGCAGCUCUUCCUUGCCAGAGAUGAUCUGACCCGGUGGGGGCAGCUGGAAAGCAACACUGGCCCCCAGCUGAAGGGCCCAGCUGCAGCCAGACAGAUGGUGCUUGAGAACCGAGGCCCAGUGAUCCUCCAGCCACAGUCCAGCCCAACCACUGCCACUUUCCAUGGGACUUAGAACUUCGGAGUUGCUGCCUUGCAAUUGGAGGAAGGACCUGGGGCCCCUAUAGGCAGCAGCCAAUUACAGCCCCUUUUGUAGCCAGGCGUUCCUAUGGUCAAAGAGUGGAAAUGCAGGAACCAACCUCCCUUUAAAAAAAAAAAAAAUCCAGAAAGCAGAUAAAAGUUGGAAUAUGGAAAAGGGCAAGAUGACCCCACCAGAGGCUCUUUGGCCUGAAGGUGGAGUCUCUGCCU
Molecule: small RNA, 547 nt
Filed under: Pan troglodytes (chimpanzee)
Lineage: Eukaryota; Metazoa; Chordata; Mammalia; Primates; Hominidae
Description: processed transcript
Source: RNAcentral